Molecule: long non-coding RNA, 859 nt
Organism: Melanotaenia boesemani (Boeseman's rainbowfish)
Lineage: Eukaryota; Metazoa; Chordata; Actinopteri; Atheriniformes; Melanotaeniidae
Exons: 3
Source: RefSeq, a predicted model, not a curated record
GUUUUGGUGUGUGUCUGAGUUUGCAGGUCAGGGUGAGCAGGUUACCAUGGGGACUGAGGGCGGAGUCUGGAGCCACAAUUGCUGCCACCUGUCUCACAUCAGCAGGCUCAUUAUCUAACUCUACUCCCUGCUAUUUAGGGGCAAGCAGGAGCUCCAGUCUUCGCCAGAUUGUCACACUUUACUGCGUGCUCUAGAUCUCGAUCCCCUGGAUAACCACAGCACCCAGGAUAUUAACCAACUGCUUGCCAAGCCGACUGCCUGCCUGCUCGCCCUGCCUGCAACCGAACACUCUCACCACCUCCCGGUUACCCCCUCCAGCUCUAGCCUUUCUCUGGAAUUCAAAAGACCCACCGGACCUGGACCUUGCCACUCACAAUCACUGUAAUAAAUAUUGUUUGCAUCUUACCUCAUCUCUCCGAGUGUUACUGCAUUUGGGUCCGGUUCCUGGUACUACGGUCUCCGACCGUGUCAGUACAAUCUGGCCAAAACAUGGACCCAGCAGACGCUCUUCAUUCUGCCCUCGCAGGGCAAGGAAAACUCCUGGGAGAGCACGAAAAAGCUUUGCGCCUCCUCGGAGAACAACAGGGUCUAUGCAGCCAUCGCCUGGACAAAGUAUCCGAACAGUUGCAGUGUAUUCACCAAUUACUAUCUGCUUCUUCUCCAGCAGCCACCGGAUCUUCUCCUACUGCCACCCUGACUGGACCUCCUGUUACAUCCGAUCCAGUCUUCCGUGACGCCGCUUUUCCCACGCCUGAGCCGUUCUCCGGGGACGUAAGCAAAUGUGGAGGUUUUCUACUACAGUGUUCCUUAGCCAUUUCUCGUUCUCCCCGAUCUUUUCCCUCAGAUACAGCCAGGAUAU